ACUCAUUGGCUGGAUGGAGGAGUCCUUGUUAACAGCCAAUCAGCGAAAGAAGUUUGCAAUAAUUAUUAGAAGGAUUUAUUUCCUUGUGCGCCAAUCCUUUGUGGAGCUGCCUGAGUUCAACUCAAGCUAUACGAGCGAGUUAAUUGUUCCUUUGAGCAUACUAGCCAUGAUGGCUUAUAGACCCAUCAGUGUGUACAUAAUAUCUCUUCUCCUGACAUGGUGUGCGGCCGGGAAGUUCAGAGUACGGCUGGUUGGAGAAACAGAGUGGUCUGGUGGCCUGUUAGUUUCUAGGAAUGACGCAUGGCGCGCAGUGUGUAAAGACGGCUUUGGAAAUGAAGAAGCACAAAUAGUCUGCAGGAUGCUUGGCUUUAGCGAGUAAUAUACAUUUUUUUCUCUUUUUCUUUCGUUCUUACUUUUUUUUUUUUUUAUACCCGAAUUGGGGUCUAUGAGAACACAUACUUACCUUAGCUAUUUUGAGAGCUGCUGUGAAAGAGUUAAAUUUUCUAUUUAUUGUCUGAGUAUUGGAAAUGGUUGUCUGAUUCCGUUAGUAAAGAAAGACGAUGAGGACAAUGAUGAUGACGAUGAUUUCGUGUCUCUCGUAGAUCGAGGCCGUAGUUGUGGAAUCAGAGAUGCUUUCGGAAAGUUCAGGUGCCAGCUUGCUGGACUGCAAUGGUACUGAAAGUAGUCUGGAAGAGUGUUUCUAUCAAGAGAAGCUCUCUUGCGGUGAAACACCACAAGUCGGAAUUAUCUGCAACAUUCUUAAGAAAGCUAGAGAGUUGAAAGCACGUCUUGUAAAAGGGAUUUUGGGUUUGGACUUCUGGAAGUUUUGUAUGACGGGGAGUGGAGUACAGUUUGCAGUCGUGGCUUUGAUCAGAAAGAAGCGCAGGUUGUUUGCAAGAUGCUUAAGCUACCCAGCAAUUACGUCCUCGCUUUUUCUUUGCCCCACUUCUUAAGGGGAAGAAAUGAAUCUAAGAUUUUAUUUAGCGACCUGGACUGCGAUGGUACAGAGACCAGCUUAGCUCAGUGUAAACACAGUGGCUUCUACAACCACACCUGCACUCACGACGAUGAUGUCAGCGUAAACUGCUUAUUCGACAAAGAUGCGACAUUUCGUCUGGGUACACGUUCCACCAGACAGGACAUGGGGCGUUUGGAGAUCACUGUGGGCCGGUAAAGAAACACGGGAAGGAGAUAAUUGUGUGGAGCGGUCUCUGUGGCGAUGUGUACUCUCCCAUUAUUACUGCCAGAUUAAUCUGCCAGAUGCUUGGCUAUCCCUCAAGUGGCGCCUUACUUCCCGGUUCGUCGUUUGGCCCAACACGUGGAUUUUGGCUGACUAACAUAAACUGUACCGGCGUAAACUCUAGUUUUUUAUCUUGUGUACAACUUUUAACCGGCAUCAGUUCAUCAUGUCCCAAAAACGAACUUGGUUUA
Pomacea canaliculata is the source of this 1431-nucleotide long non-coding RNA. RefSeq lists it as uncharacterized. The transcript is spliced from 6 exons. The record is from RefSeq and is a predicted model, not a curated record. Lineage: Eukaryota; Metazoa; Mollusca; Gastropoda; Architaenioglossa; Ampullariidae.